Long non-coding RNA from Lolium rigidum, 1792 nucleotides. RefSeq lists it as uncharacterized. The record is from RefSeq and is a predicted model, not a curated record. The transcript has 2 exons. Lineage: Eukaryota; Viridiplantae; Streptophyta; Magnoliopsida; Poales; Poaceae.
CGAUAGGGACGGCGCCGUCAAGGACAAAGCGGACGAGCUCAAGGCGUGGCUGGACCUGCUCCCGACCAGCACCAACGGGUUGGUGUGCCAGCUGGACGACUUCCUGGACGGCAUUGUGGGGUGCGGAAGGAGUUGUCCGAUCUCUGCAGCCAACACUGAAUUUCCACGGACGAACGAAUGAUGAUGACCCCUGGAAUCUUGUCAACUGCUUGCAACGCGUGGUGGCAAGUAAAGCAACUCCUCGCUGAAUGUCCUGCCUGCUUCAUCAGCGGUCAUGGUGAGCAGCAACCAAUUUGUGCAUGUGCGCAAUGGUGAGACUUUUCUGUCGUAUAUGAUCUCUACACAUAGUUCAGUUUCAUAUCCUAUGUAGAUAGUAUUUCUAUAGUGUAGAACCAUCUGUAUGUGCUAUGUGCAUAUCUUAUCUUUCCGCGGUGUAGUUUUUCUGAGUUUUUUGACACUUGGGAUGUAGUUUAGCACUUCAGUGUGUGUUAUUCCAACUAAGAUUAAUAUAGUACAAUGUAAUUAUGUUUAAAUCAGGUUAGUUAAUUCUGCUUGUACCAUGAUGUACUUUCUUUAUGUAUACACCGGAAUGUUAUUAUGCUCAUGUAAGGAUGUUGUUUUUUUUGUAGUUAUCCUUACAUCAAGAUGUAUUUUUUUUAUCAAACAUGCCUGGGAGUAUCAUUUCUAUUAGGAAGAAAGCGCUAAGAAAGCACAAGCAACCUCUAUCGCUCGGUUGGUUCGCUGCUGGCGUUUUGCUCGAUGCAAGAUUGGAGCUGGUGGUGUUCUAUCGCCUUUUUUUUGGAGUGCCCAAUUUUCAAGUAAUUUUGUCUAGUGGAGACUUAUUCUGUGUUAACUGAAAUCUUUCGUCUCCUUCAGAGUCUUCACUUCACAAUGUAUGCACUGUUUCAACCCAUGUGUCUACAGGCGGGCAGGUAAGGCCUGAUUGGUUGCUAGCAGCGUUUUCCUGCACAUGGGGAGAUUUUCUCCUUGGAGCCAUGUUCAACUGAGCCAAAUCUAAAACCAUGUUGUGCAUAUUGAUUGAUUGCUAACAAUUUAUUUUUUGGCUACGAGGGAGAAACAGAAGUUCGUGUUUGGUUCGCAACAAAGAUGAAUUUUGGUGUCGUGCACGACGUUUGGAUGCGUGCACGCAAAGAUGUAUUUUUUUCUAUAUAAUGCAUUUGCUAUUUUCCUUUUAACUUAAUAAUCUGGUGUGAUUUGGAAAUAGCAACUGUACGUGUAAAACUGGAUAUUGCAAUUUUACAACUAAGUAAAACUGGAUGUAAUUGUGCAAUAUAAACACAUCAUCUUUUUAUUUGAUUGAUUCUGAACUCUACUAUUAUUUUUUCUCCAGGGGCUGGGAUCAUGCAUUUGUUUUUGGCAUCCCUAAAGUGUAGAAGCCAGAUGGUGCUGGUUUUUCACCACAUGGUGCAGCAACAAAGGAAAAGUUACAUAAGUAGCAACCAAAUUUUUUGCCUCGCUGGAUCCGAAGAUUAUUUCCCCUACCAAUACAAAAAAAAUGGUGCAUUUUCUAAGGCACGUACUUAUGAAACGUACACAAACUAUGUCAUUAAGGGUUUAGUACAUUUUUUCUUUAAGUUUUAUAUAAUUUGGUUUUCAUGAUUAUCGACAGUACUUGGGAGGCAUUUUGUUCGUCCUUGUUUCCCUUGAGUUUUAGCUUGAUGAUGUAAUAAUGUUGAUAUAUUUACAUCUAGCCUCAGCAUGAGGAUUAUUGUAUCUUUUUCCCUGAGUUUUUGAAGGGGGUGCCGGGAAAAAGGGCAUGUUUCGUUGAUCA